GCCCACGCCCCGGCAUUGGGUUUGAGGGAAAAGGAGCAAUCCGCUUGGAGAUGGCCUCGCGUCCGAUUAGCUGGUUGGUGAGGUAACGGCCCACCAAGGCGACGAUCGGUAGCCGGACUGAGAGGUUGAACGGCCACAUUGGGACUGAGACACGGCCCAGACUCCUACGGGAGGCAGCAGUGGGGAAUAUUGCACAAUGGGGGGAACCCUGAUGCAGCGACGCCGCGUGGAGGAAGAAGGUCUUCGGAUUGUAAACUCCUGUUGUUGAGGAAGAUAAUGACGGUACUCAACAAGGAAGUGACGGCUAACUACGUGCCAGCAGCCGCGGUAAAACGUAGGUCACAAGCGUUGUCCGGAAUUACUGGGUGUAAAGGGAGCGCAGGCGGGAAGACAAGUUGGAAGUGAAAUCUAUGGGCUCAACCCAUAAACUGCUUUCAAAACUGUUUUUCUUGAGUAGUGCAGAGGUAGGCGGAAUUCCCGGUGUAGCGGUGGAAUGCGUAGAUAUCGGGAGGAACACCAGUGGCGAAGGCGGCCUACUGGGCACCAACUGACGCUGAGGCUCGAAAGUGUGGGUAGCAAACAGGAUUAGAUACCCUGGUAGUCCACACCGUAAACGAUGAUUACUAGGUGUUGGAGGAUUGACCCCUUCAGUGCCGCAGUCAACACAAUAAGUAAUCCACCUGGGGAGUACGACCGCAAGGUUGAAACUCAAAGGAAUUGACGGGGGCCCGCACAAGCAGUGGAGUAUGUGGUUUAAUUCGACGCAACGCGAAGAACCUUACCAAGUCUUGACAUCCCUUGACGAACAUAGAAAUAUGUUUUCUCUUCGGAGCAAGGAGACAGGUGGUGCAUGGUUGUCGUCAGCUCGUGUCGUGAGAUGUUGGGUUAAGUCCCGCAACGAGCGCAACCCUUACUGUCAGUUACUACGCAAGAGGACUCUGGCAGGACUGCCGUUGACAAAACGGAGGAAGGUGGGGAUGACGUCAAAUCAUCAUGCCCUUUAUGACUUGGGCUACACACGUACUACAAUGGCGUUAAACAAAGAGAAGCAAGACCGCGAGGUGGAGCAAAACUCAGAAACAACGUCCCAGUUCGGACUGCAGGCUGCAACUCGCCUGCACGAAGUCGGAAUUGCUAGUAAUCGUGGAUCAGCAUGCCACGGUGAAUACGUUCCCGGGCCUUGCACACACCGCCCGUA
This 1198-nucleotide ribosomal RNA is filed under the name uncultured bacterium. RNAcentral describes it as "bacterial SSU rRNA". It matches the Rfam family "Bacterial small subunit ribosomal RNA", at positions 173 to 1398 of the family's 1533-position model. The record is from RNAcentral.